Molecule: ribosomal RNA, 253 nt
Filed under: uncultured bacterium
Lineage: Bacteria
Description: partial 16S ribosomal RNA
Rfam family: Bacterial small subunit ribosomal RNA
Source: RNAcentral
CACGUAGGGCGCAAGCGUUGUCCGGAAUUAUUGGGCGUAAAGAGCUCGUAGGCGGUCUGUCGCGUCGAUCGUGAAAACCUGGGGCUCAACUCCAGGCCUGCAGUCGAUACGGGCAGACUAGAGUUCGGUAGGGGAGACUGGAAUUCCUGGUGUAGCGGUGAAAUGCGCAGAUAUCAGGAGGAACACCGGUGGCGAAGGCGGGUCUCUGGGCCGAAACUGACGCUGAGGAGCGAAAGCGUGGGGAGCGAACAGG